Molecule: ribosomal RNA, 169 nt
Filed under: uncultured eukaryote
Lineage: Eukaryota
Description: partial small subunit ribosomal RNA
Rfam family: Eukaryotic small subunit ribosomal RNA
Source: RNAcentral
GUACACACCGCCCGUCGCUAGUACCGAUUGAAUGGCUUAGUGAGGCCUCAGGAUCUGCUUAGAAGAGGGGGCGACUCCACUUCAGAGCGGAGAAUCUGGUCAAACUUGGUCAUUUAGAGGAACUAAAAGUCGUAACAAGGUUUCCGUAGGUGAACCUGCAGAAGGAUCA